This 90-nucleotide transfer RNA is filed under the name Streptomyces umbrinus. RNAcentral's name for it is "tRNA-Glu". The record is from RNAcentral. Lineage: Bacteria; Bacillati; Actinomycetota; Actinomycetes; Kitasatosporales; Streptomycetaceae.
CCGCCGGUCUGGCGGAAGGCGCCUGCGAACUCGCCGUCGUACGCAGGCCGUUGGAGGAGGACCGGCGGUUCGACUCCGCCAUCGUCGGGC